This 342-nucleotide long non-coding RNA is filed under the name Actinidia chinensis (golden kiwifruit). RNAcentral's name for it is "long non-coding RNA (ACHI_LNC004135)". The record is from RNAcentral. Lineage: Eukaryota; Viridiplantae; Streptophyta; Magnoliopsida; Ericales; Actinidiaceae.
UAGGAUAAUAAUGGAUGUUUGGGUGUUUAAAAGCUCGAGUCUUUCAAGCCUUAACUGAUCCAGAAAAAGUCCGACUGGUCUAAAAAGUCCAACCGGUCCAGUAAAAGUCUGACAGGUCCAUCCAACAUCUGUACCUAACUUAUAUUUUCUCUACCAGUCCAAAAAAAUCCCAAUCGGUCCAUACAAGGUCAGUCUAAUUUAUAUUUCUCUACCGGUCCAGGAAAAUCCCAACCGGUCCAAAUGAGAAAAAACUGCAGACUCCGUUUUUCUAUCCUGACUUCUAAGCCAGUUUUUGGCAUCCAAACCUCAAAAUUAUAAAAAUGCUAUUUGAAUCAAAGUUGU